CUACAGAGGGUGCGAGCGUUAAUCGGAAUUACUGGGCGUAAAGCGCGCGUAGGCGGCUUAUUAAGUCAGAUGUGAAAUCCCCGGGCUCAACCUGGGAACUGCAUCUGAUACUGGUAAGCUAGAGUUUUGGAGAGGGAAGUAGAAUUUCAGGUGUAGCGGUGAAAUGCAUAGAGAUCUGAAGGAAUACCAGUGGCGAAGGCGACUUCCUGGCCAAAAACUGACGCUGAGGUGCGAAAGCGUAGGUAGCAAACGGGAUUAGAUACCCUAGUAGUCC
Molecule: ribosomal RNA, 274 nt
Filed under: uncultured bacterium
Lineage: Bacteria
Description: partial 16S ribosomal RNA
Rfam family: Bacterial small subunit ribosomal RNA
Source: RNAcentral